UCAUAGAGUAAGAUUUGUUCU
RNAcentral lists this non-coding RNA (21 nucleotides) under Caenorhabditis elegans. The record is from RNAcentral. Lineage: Eukaryota; Metazoa; Nematoda; Chromadorea; Rhabditida; Rhabditidae.